AGUGCCAAAUCAGCAAUUGCAACAUUCUCUCAAGGUGCUGAUGAGCCUUUGUGUGAAGCUUGGGAGAGAUAUAAAUCCUUGCUGAGGAAAUGCCCGAAUCAUGGGUU
Molecule: small nucleolar RNA, 107 nt
Filed under: Cajanus cajan (pigeon pea)
Lineage: Eukaryota; Viridiplantae; Streptophyta; Magnoliopsida; Fabales; Fabaceae
Description: snoRNA gene-KK1_031872
Source: RNAcentral